UACGUAGGGUGCAAGCGUUAAUCGGAAUUACUGGGCGUAAAGCGUGCGCAGGCGGUGAUGUAAGACAGAUGUGAAAUCCCCGGGCUCAACCUGGGAACUGCAUUUGUGACUGCAUCGCUGGAGUACGGCAGAGGGGGAUGGAAUUCCGCGUGUAGCAGUGAAAUGCGUAGAUAUGCGGAGGAACACCGAUGGCGAAGGCAAUCCCCUGGGCCUGCACUGACGCUCAUGCACGAAAGCCGUGGGGAGCAAACAGG
RNAcentral lists this ribosomal RNA (254 nucleotides) under uncultured bacterium. RNAcentral's name for it is "partial 16S ribosomal RNA". It matches the Rfam family "Bacterial small subunit ribosomal RNA", at positions 524 to 776 of the family's 1533-position model. The record is from RNAcentral.